RNAcentral lists this ribosomal RNA (737 nucleotides) under Clostridioides difficile. RNAcentral's name for it is "partial 23S ribosomal RNA". It matches the Rfam family "Bacterial large subunit ribosomal RNA", at positions 683 to 1428 of the family's 2925-position model. The record is from RNAcentral. Lineage: Bacteria; Bacillati; Bacillota; Clostridia; Peptostreptococcales; Peptostreptococcaceae.
UUUAACUGAGCGUUCAGUUACUUGACGUAGACCCGAAACCGGGCGACCUACCCAUGAGCAGGAUGAAGCGAAAGUAAAAUUUCGUGGAGGUCCGAACCCACGAGCGUUGAAAAGCUCGGGGAUGACUUGUGGGUAGCGGUGAAAUUCCAAUCGAGCCCGGAGAUAGCUGGUUCUCCCCGAAAUAGCUUUAGGGCUAGCCUCAAGGUGAGAGAUACGGAGGUAGAGCACUGAAUGUCCUAGGGGGUAUUGCACCUACCGAAGACUAUCAAACUCCGAAUGCCGUCAUCUUAUACUUGGGAGUCAGACUGUGGGUGAUAAGAUUCAUAGUCGAAAGGGCAACAGCCCAGAUCGUCAGCUAAGGUCCCUAAAUGUAAGUUAAGUGGUAAAGGAUGUGGGAUUGCACAGACAACCAGGAUGUUGGCUUAGAAGCAGCCACUCAUUCAAAGAGUGCGUAAUAGCUCACUGGUCGAGUGAUCCUGCGCCGAAGAUUUCCGGGGCUAAAACUUACUACCGAAGCUACGGCAUCAGUAAUGAUGGGUAGGGGAGCUUCCCAUACGGGUUGAAGCAUGACCGUAAGGACAUGUGGACAGUAUGGGAGUGAGAAUGUUGGCAUGAGUAGCGAGAUGUGGGUGAGAAUCCCACAGGCCGUAAACCCAAGGUUUCCAGGGGAAGGUUCGUCCGCCCUGGGUUAGUCGGGACCUAAGCUGAGGCCGAAAGGCGUAGGUGAUGGACAACAG